UACAGAGGGGGCAAGCGUUGUUCGGAAUUACUGGGCGUAAAGGGCGCGUAGGCGGCCGCCUAAGUCAGACGUGAAAUCCCUCGGCUUAACCGGGGAACUGCGUCUGAUACUGGAUGGCUUGAGUUCGGGAGAGGGAUGCGGAAUUCCAGGUGUAGCGGUGAAAUGCGUAGAUAUCUGGAGGAACACCGGUGGCGAAGGCGGCAUCCUGGACCGACACUGACGCUGAGGAGCGAAAGCCAGGGGAGCAAACGGG
Molecule: ribosomal RNA, 253 nt
Filed under: uncultured bacterium
Lineage: Bacteria
Description: partial 16S ribosomal RNA
Rfam family: Bacterial small subunit ribosomal RNA
Source: RNAcentral